This 253-nucleotide ribosomal RNA is filed under the name uncultured bacterium. Its description in RNAcentral is "partial 16S ribosomal RNA". It matches the Rfam family "Bacterial small subunit ribosomal RNA", at positions 524 to 776 of the family's 1533-position model. The record is from RNAcentral.
UACGUAGGUGGCGAGCGUUGUCCGGAAUUACUGGGUGUAAAGGGCGUGUAGGCGGGAAGGUAAGUCAGAUGUGAAAUACCGGGGCUCAACCCCGGGGCUGCAUUUGAAACUAUCUUUCUUGAGUGCAGGAGAGGAAAGUGGAAUUCCUAGUGUAGCGGUGAAAUGCGUAGAUAUUAGGAGGAACACCAGUGGCGAAGGCGACUUUCUGGACUGUAACUGACGCUGAGGCGAGAAAGCGUGGGGAGUGAACAGG